AUACGUAGGGGGCGAGCGUUGUCCGGAAUGAUUGGGCGUAAAGGGCGCGUAGGCGGCCCGGUAAGUCUGGAGUGAAAGUCCUGUUUUUAAGAUGGGAAUUGCUUUGGAUACUGUCGGGCUUGAGUGCAGGAGAGGUAAGUGGAAUUCCCAGUGUAGCGGUGAAAUGCGUAGAGAUUGGGAGGAACACCAGCGGCGAAGGCGACUUACUGGACUGUAACUGACGCUGAGGCGCGAAAGUGUGGGAAGCAAACAGGAUUAGAUACCCUGGUAGUCCACACUGUAAACGAUGAAUGCUAGGUGUAGGGGGUAUCGACCCCUUCUGUGCCGCAGUCAACACAAUAAGCAUUCCGCCUGGGGAGUACGGCCGCAAGGUUGAAACUCAAAGGAAUUGACGGGG
This 397-nucleotide ribosomal RNA is filed under the name uncultured bacterium. Its description in RNAcentral is "partial 16S ribosomal RNA". It matches the Rfam family "Bacterial small subunit ribosomal RNA", at positions 523 to 918 of the family's 1533-position model. The record is from RNAcentral.